UACGUAGGGGGCAAGCGUUGUCCGGAAUCAUUGGGCGUAAAGCGCGUGUAGGCGGCUCGAUAAGUCCGUUCUGAAAGUCCAGGGCUCAACCCUGGGAUGCGGAUGGAUACUGUCGAGCUCGAGUCCGGAAGAGGCAAGUGGAAUUCCUGGUGUAGCGGUGGAAUGCGCAGAUAUCAGGAGGAACACCUAUAGCGAAGGCAGCUUGCUGGGACGUUACUGACGCUAAGGCGCGAAAGCGUGGGGAGCGAACAGG
Molecule: ribosomal RNA, 253 nt
Filed under: uncultured bacterium
Lineage: Bacteria
Description: partial 16S ribosomal RNA
Rfam family: Bacterial small subunit ribosomal RNA
Source: RNAcentral